RNAcentral lists this small nuclear RNA (300 nucleotides) under Erinaceus europaeus (western European hedgehog). RNAcentral's name for it is "7SK RNA". It matches the Rfam family "7SK RNA". Rfam says of the family: 7SK was discovered as an abundant small nuclear RNA in the mid-70s but a possible function has only recently been suggested. Two independent studies have found that 7SK RNA binds the CDK9/cyclin T complex (known as elongation factor P-TEFb). P-TEFb activates transcription by phosphorylating the C-terminal domain of RNA polymerase II. Lineage: Eukaryota; Metazoa; Chordata; Mammalia; Eulipotyphla; Erinaceidae. The record is from Rfam by way of RNAcentral.
GGAUAUCUAGGUGAAAUGUCUGGAACACCUGUCACCCACAAUCUCUAAGGGUGAUUCAGCUAAUCUAUCUGCCUUCGUAGUUGUCCCCUUCCCCCCUCCCUCACCACUCUAUUUUUGUCCUUCCUGAAGCUGCAUGCUGGGUAGAAAACCACCGCUUUCCUCAUUCAAAAGAGGCAGCCAUUCUUGCAUAGAAUGGCAUACCUGUAGCUAUGCUCCCAUCCAGAACAGACAUUAAAAAAAAAAAUGCAAUCCAUCACCUCAACAAGCUACAGAAAAAAUCACAUGAACAUAUCAAUAGGU